CCCCUCUCAGGAUGGCACCUGGAGAGUUUGCAGUACUCUACCAAUCUUGGCUAUGGGAGGGAGAGACAAGCAGAAGCCUAACCAUUCCAUUCUUAGCUUGGCCAGUACCUAGCGAGUGGAAGGCAAUCUGCUACAAGU
Ornithorhynchus anatinus (platypus) is the source of this 138-nucleotide small nucleolar RNA. Lineage: Eukaryota; Metazoa; Chordata; Mammalia; Monotremata; Ornithorhynchidae. The record is from RefSeq and is a predicted model, not a curated record.